Molecule: long non-coding RNA, 497 nt
Organism: Drosophila arizonae
Lineage: Eukaryota; Metazoa; Arthropoda; Insecta; Diptera; Drosophilidae
Source: RefSeq, a predicted model, not a curated record
GUUAACUCACAUAAAAGUUGGCUUAUAUUUGUAUAACAAAAACUGCCCAUCGCUAGAUGGCGCAGCUAGGCGUUGCCUUUAGCAGCUGCUUCCAGUCGUUCCCGAUAGAUGACGCCAGUAAAUUCAUCAGCAUCAAAAGAAACGGAAGCAUGACCUUGGCGAAUUUAUAUAUUUAUAUGAAUUGCUGCUAAGUUUUUAUUCAUUUAUAUUGUAGCUAUAUUUUGAUGUCUUUAGUUCUAAGCAGCGGCGCAAUCAGUAAACAGUAGCUCUCUGGAACAGCAGCUCUACUACAGUCUUAUCUUGUGGAUACUUAUACAACUUGACUUGCUGAUAUCACUUCAACUGUGAGGUCAAUUCAAAAUGGUCUUGAAGUCACAGGAUGGACGCACAAAUGCUACUACAACUAUAGCCGUAUUAAAAUCUUGUCUGUCUAUGAUUAAAAAACUUUAUUAUGUCUCCAAUAAUGUAUCUCUAUUAUAUGAAUAUAUAUAUGUGUA